This 1491-nucleotide ribosomal RNA is filed under the name uncultured Halomonas sp. Its description in RNAcentral is "bacterial SSU rRNA". It matches the Rfam family "Bacterial small subunit ribosomal RNA". Lineage: Bacteria; Pseudomonadati; Pseudomonadota; Gammaproteobacteria; Oceanospirillales; Halomonadaceae. The record is from RNAcentral.
GCCUAACACAUGCAAGUCGAGCGGCAGCACGGGAAGCUUGCUUCCUGGUGGCGAGCGGCGGACGGGUGAGUAAUGCAUAGGAAUCUGCCCGGUAGUGGGGGAUAACCUGGGGAAACCCAGGCUAAUACCGCAUACGUCCUACGGGAGAAAGCAGGGGCUCUUCGGACCUUGCGCUAUCGGAUGAGCCUAUGUCGGAUUAGCUGGUUGGUGAGGUAAUGGCUCACCAAGGCGACGAUCCGUAGCUGGUCUGAGAGGAUGAUCAGCCACAUCGGGACUGAGACACGGCCCGAACUCCUACGGGAGGCAGCAGUGGGGAAUAUUGGACAAUGGGCGCAAGCCUGAUCCAGCCAUGCCGCGUGUGUGAAGAAGGCCCUCGGGUUGUAAAGCACUUUCAGUGGGGAAGAAAGCCUUCCGGUUAAUACCCGGGAGGAAGGACAUCACCCACAGAAGAAGCACCGGCUAACUCCGUGCCAGCAGCCGCGGUAAUACGGAGGGUGCGAGCGUUAAUCGGAAUUACUGGGCGUAAAGCGCGCGUAGGUGGCUUGAUAAGCCGGUUGUGAAAGCCCCGGGCUCAACCUGGGAACGGCAUCCGGAACUGUCAGGCUAGAGUGCAGGAGAGGAAGGUAGAAUUCCCGGUGUAGCGGUGAAAUGCGUAGAGAUCGGGAGGAAUACCAGUGGCGAAGGCGGCCUUCUGGACUGACACUGACACUGAGUGCGAAAGCGUGGGUAGCAAACAGGAUUAGAUACCUGGUAGUCACGCCGUAAACGAUGUCGACUAGCCGUUGGGUCCUUCGCGGACUUUGUGGCGCAGUUAACGCGAUAAGUCGACCGCCUGGGGAGUACGGCCGCAAGGUUAAAACUCAAAUGAAUUGACGGGGGCCCGCACAAGCGGUGGAGCAUGUGGUUUAAUUCGAUGCAACGCGAAGAACCUUACCUACCCUUGACAUCCUGCGAACCCUUCGGAGACGAAGGGGUGCCUUCGGGAACGCAGAGACAGGUGCUGCAUGGCUGUCGUCAGCUCGUGUUGUGAAAUGUUGGGUUAAGUCCCGUAACGAGCGCAACCCUUGUCCCUAUUUGCCAGCGAUUCGGUCGGGAACUCUAGGGAGACUGCCGGUGACAAACCGGAGGAAGGUGGGGACGACGUCAAGUCAUCAUGGCCCUUACGGGUAGGGCUACACACGUGCUACAAUGGUCAGUACAAAGGGUUGCGAACUUGCGAGAGUGAGCCAAUCCCAGAAAGCUGAUCUCAGUCCGGAUCGGAGUCUGCAACUCGACUCCGUGAAGUCGGAAUCGCUAGUAAUCGUGAAUCAGAAUGUCACGGUGAAUACGUUCCCGGGCCUUGUACACACCGCCCGUCACACCAUGGGAGUGGACUGCACCAGAAGUGGUUAGCCUAACCUUCGGGAGGGCGAUCACCACGGUGUGGUUCAUGACUGGGGUGAAGUCGUAACAAGGUAGCCGUAGGGGAACCUGCGGCUGGAUCACCUCCUU